RNAcentral lists this small nuclear RNA (135 nucleotides) under Rhodnius prolixus. RNAcentral describes it as "U4 spliceosomal RNA". It matches the Rfam family "U4 spliceosomal RNA". From Rfam's summary of the family: U4 small nuclear RNA (U4 snRNA) is a component of the major U2-dependent spliceosome. The structure of U4 snRNA from yeast and human has been reported. U4 snRNA presents a k-turn RNA motif in the 5p-SL related to recognition of Snu13 protein. Lineage: Eukaryota; Metazoa; Arthropoda; Insecta; Hemiptera; Reduviidae. The record is from Rfam by way of RNAcentral.
AGUCUAGCGCAAUGGCCAUAUCGUAACAAAUGAAGGUCUCUUGAGGUAGGAUUAUUGCUAGUUGAAAACUAUUCACGAUGGCGGAGUGUUUGGUAAAUAAAUAAAUAAAAUUAUCUCAGAGAAAUAAAAUGUUGG